CCUACGGGUGACAGCAGUGGGGGAUAUUGCACAAUGGGGGGAACCCUGAUGCAGCGACGCCGCGUGGGUGAAGGAGCGUUUCGGCGCGUAAAGCCCUAUCAGCAGGGAAGAAGAUGACGGUACCUGGCCAAGAAGCCCCGGCUAACUACGUGCCAGCAGCCGCGGUAAUACGUAGGGGGCAAGCGUUAGCCGGAUUUACUGGGUGUAAAGGGGGCGCAGACGGCAAUGCAAGCCAGGAGUGAAAGCCCGGGGCCCAACCCCGGGACUGCUCUUGGAACUGCAUGGCUGGAGUACAGGAGGGGCAGGCGGAAUUCCUAGUGUAGCGGUGAAAUGCGUAGAUAUUAGGAGGAACACCGGUGGCGAAGGCGGCCUGCUGGACUGUGACUGACGUUGAGGCCCGAAGGCGUGGGGAGCAAACAGGAUUAGAUACCCCAGUAGUC
Molecule: ribosomal RNA, 440 nt
Filed under: uncultured bacterium
Lineage: Bacteria
Description: partial 16S ribosomal RNA
Rfam family: Bacterial small subunit ribosomal RNA
Source: RNAcentral